GGCGGUUCUUGGGUGAUGCACCCCAGAAUCAGGCUCCCUCCUCUCUGGUUCUGGGUGUGUCACCCAAGAACCGCA
Molecule: non-coding RNA, 75 nt
Organism: Myotis davidii
Lineage: Eukaryota; Metazoa; Chordata; Mammalia; Chiroptera; Vespertilionidae
Source: Rfam